ACGGGGAGCACCACAACAGGUGGAGCCUGCGGUUUAAUCGGACUCAACGCCGGGAAACUCACCAGAUAAGACAGCUGAAUGAUAGUCGGGCUGGAGACUCUACUUGACUAGCUGAGAGGAGGUGCAUGGCCGUCGUCAGUUCGUACUGUGAAGCAUCCUGUUAAGUCAGGCAACGAGCGAGACCCACGCCAACAGUUGCCAGCUCGUCCUCCGGGAUGGUGGGGACACUGUUGGGACCGCCUCUGCUAAAGAGGAGGAAGGAAUGGGCAACGGUAGGUCAGCAUGCCCCGAAUUAUCUGGGCUACACGCGGGCUACAAUGGGUGGGACAAUGGGUAUCGACACCGAAAGGUGAAGGCAAUCUCCUAAACCCAUCCGUAGUUCGGAUUGUGGGCUGCAACUCGCCCACAUGAAGCUGGAAUCUGUAGUAAUCGUGUCUCAAAAUGGCACGGUGAAUAUGUCCCUGCUCCUU
RNAcentral lists this ribosomal RNA (470 nucleotides) under uncultured Methanomicrobiales archaeon. Its description in RNAcentral is "bacterial SSU rRNA". It matches the Rfam family "Archaeal small subunit ribosomal RNA", at positions 871 to 1337 of the family's 1478-position model. The record is from RNAcentral. Lineage: Archaea; Methanobacteriati; Methanobacteriota; Methanomicrobia; Methanomicrobiales.